GAUGAACGCUGGCGGCGUGCCUAACACAUGCAAGUCGAGCGAGAUGUAUAUGGACGAAACUUCGGUCUAGAAAAUAUAUUGACAGCGGCGGACGGGUGAGUAACGCGUAGGCAACCUGCCCUUAACACAGGGAUAGCCUCGGGAAACCGGGAUUAAAACCUGAUAAUGCCAAAUAGUCACAUGGCUGUUUGGCCAAAGAUUUAUCGGUUAAGGAUGGGCCUGCGUCUGAUUAGUUUGUUGGUGGGGUAACGGCCUACCAAGACUACGAUCAGUAGCCGACCUGAGAGGGUGAUCGGCCACAUUGGAACUGAGACACGGUCCAAACUCCUACGGGAGGCAGCAGUGGGGAAUAUUGCACAAUGGGCGAAAGCCUGAUGCAGCAACGCCGCGUGAGCGAUGAAGGCCUUUGGGUCGUAAAGCUCUGUCCUUGGGAAGAAAAAAGUGACGGUACCCAAGGAGGAAGCCCCGGCUAACUACGUG
RNAcentral lists this ribosomal RNA (480 nucleotides) under uncultured bacterium. RNAcentral describes it as "bacterial SSU rRNA". It matches the Rfam family "Bacterial small subunit ribosomal RNA", at positions 28 to 507 of the family's 1533-position model. The record is from RNAcentral.